CACUAUCGUUAACUGAAUACAUAGGUUAACGAGGCGAACCGGGGGAACUGAAACAUCUAAGUACCCCGAGGAAAAGAAAUCAACCGAGAUUCCCCCAGUAGCGGCGAGCGAACGGGGAGCAGCCCAGAGUCUGAAUCAGCUUGUGUGUUAGUGGAACGGUCUGGAAAGUCCGACGGUACAGGGUGAUAGUCCCGUACACCAAAAUGCACAGGUUGUGAACUCGAAGAGUAGGGCGGGACACGUGGUAUCCUGUCUGAAUAUGGGGGGACCAUCCUCCAAGGCUAAAUACUCCUGACUGACCGAUAGUGAACCAGUACCGUGAGGGAAAGGCGAAAAGAACCCCGGCG
This 347-nucleotide ribosomal RNA is filed under the name Klebsiella quasipneumoniae subsp. similipneumoniae. RNAcentral's name for it is "partial 23S ribosomal RNA". It matches the Rfam family "Bacterial large subunit ribosomal RNA", at positions 146 to 531 of the family's 2925-position model. Lineage: Bacteria; Pseudomonadati; Pseudomonadota; Gammaproteobacteria; Enterobacterales; Enterobacteriaceae. The record is from RNAcentral.